Long non-coding RNA from Chelonia mydas (Green sea turtle), 2699 nucleotides. RefSeq lists it as uncharacterized. The record is from RefSeq and is a predicted model, not a curated record. NCBI's taxonomy places the organism in Eukaryota, Metazoa, Chordata, Testudines, Cheloniidae. The transcript has 2 exons.
CCUGCCAUCCAUGAUAUGAUAUUUUCUGUGGUUCACUUCCCACACCGACUAUUUCCUCAAGGACAAUAUAUUGGUGGUGGAACGAACAAACUAAAUGCCAGAUAAUUUUCUUGGGUACAACAGAUCCAUACGCUACAAUUUAAAAGCUGAAAACCGUGGGAAAGCAUUAGAGAUUUGGCAGUAACACGUCUAGUUGUGGCUCAAAACUAUUAGCCCGUCAUCUGAAUGAACACUUGCAGCUGAAGAAAAAUUUCCGAAGUGUACGGAUACACGUGCUGAACCUAUUCCAUUUGAGUAGAUCCCUGGCUGCGUUUCCGAAGAUGAAGCACAUACAAAUGCUUUGACCAGUUACCUAUAUACGCUUUCGGAUUGCAGCAUUUUCUGCCUAAAUUACGUCAAGUCAACAUGAUUGGGCGGCUUGAGUGCUUUCAACAUUUUCAUCUGCUGCCCCCUACAGGAGGUUUACAAGUGCAGUUUGACCUCCUAUAAAAUUAGUGUGAUCCACCCCAUUUUUCCCAAAAGGCAUUUUCUCUACUCUAACAUUUAUUAUUUUUACUAUGGCAGUACCUCAAGGCUCCAUCUUGGAUCAGGGCCCCUUUGUGCUGGGGGCUGUCCAUACACAUGAAAAGAGAGACAAUCCCUGCACUGAAAGCUUGCAAACUAAACAGACAGGGUAGACGAAAGGUGGGAACAGAUAUUGUACUCAUUUUACAGGUGAGGAACUGAAAGAGAGAGAAACCAAGAGUCAGAUUUUUGAAGGCGCUUUGUUGAUCAUGCAGAAUAGUAUCUGGAUCCCCUGCCUGUGGCUUAGGUUGAAACAAUACAAUUCCAAUGUAUGAGGCAAAUAUCCCAUGGACCACUCAGCACCAUGCUUGAAAUCCUGCCUCUACUGAGGUUAGCUUUACCAUUGACUUCAGUGAGGCCAGGAUUUAACCCCCUGACUUAAAAGAACAAAGAUAAGGAGGAUAUUGACAGUAGACCAGAUGCUAGAGGAAACUGAGUCAGCACUUAUGGAAAAGCUUGCACAAGUAGGGGUGUCUUGGAAUGCCUAAUCGCAGACAAAGCCCAGCUUUCUGGGUCCUUGCUUUCCUUGGCUUCUGCACCAUAUCCGGCACCAAAGGCAAUUACUCAGGAAAGGCCAGUCACUCUAGAAUAGUGAAACAUGGAGCCACAGGGCAGCAACAGAGGCCGUGGAACCCUGGCUGUGCUCCACUCAUUUCUGCUAGCUGUACCCAGCUGUGACAUUCCCACCCAGCAAGAACCACUUGCUAAAAUUAGCUUUCAUGCCCACAAGAUGUUCUUCCUCAUUGGCAAAUGCUGCAUCCCCUUAAAAAAAAAAACCCAGAGGGCAUUGGUGACCCUAUCAAAGGCUGAGACGUUGGGGAGGCUGGGUGGCACCUGUUGUCUCCAACAGUACCUUUCAGAGUGUUCAGCGCACUACUUCUGCCAUUCACAGUACUGUUGGGACUGUGCCAGAUACUUCACAGGGCCUAUAUUGAGAGUGGUGGAGACAGGGGAUAGAAUCUGCAUUCUCCAGAGAUAUCCCAUGAGGAAUAAGGCCACACAAGACAAGCAGCUGGAAGCACUGAAGGCCAAGGUCAUGGACCUUAUAAUUGCUCCUCAACCAGCUUUCCCAUAGUGCUUCCCGGAGGGCAGUCGCUUGGGCAUGCUCACUGAGCGGGUAGCUCCACCUCUGCUGAAGAUAAUGCCCUUAUCCCAGUAUGGAUGCAGAAACGGAGUGGGUCCAUGGAUCAUUGGGGCAAAAGCUAAAUGAGGGACAGGCAACCCCACCCCUUUGUCACUGUGAUGGCCUGGUGGCCACAGAGGUGCUCCUAAUUUGGGGACAUUGAAAUGAGGAAUGCCCUCACCCAGCUGGAAAAUCUCAGUCAUCCAGAGCUCAGAAUAAGUCAACUUGCCAGAUAUAUGUUCCACUAAAGACUGGCUGAAAAUCCUGUCAACACUGCUAGUAAACCCAUCAUGUCUGUAACUUGGCUGACUAAUAAGCUGUGAAACACUCAUGUAGGCAAUGGGAAAUCCUUCUCGGGGCAGAAGUGUACUUUACAGAGCUUUCUGUAACAACCAGCAAAGGCAAUUUGAAGACUACUAGGCUAAGCAGAUUUCACACACGGCCAGGAAAUAAGCCCCCUACAAUGAGAGUCUGCACCAUUGCUGGAUUUACACAGCCUACUACAGCCUACUGUGGAUGGCACUUUGUCCUCAGUACCUUGUUCCUACUGUCGGUUAAGGAGGCCCCUUCCAGCAGAUGACAAUUUUCCCCUGGGGAAAUGAUUUCUACUCUUUCCUUUAAUGCAGGGAGUGUGAAUGAGAGCAGGGGAAAGAGCUUCAGCCACUCUGGGGUGAAAAAUCAUUGCUACAGUGGGAGUCCGAGAUACGAUGCCAGGCUGCUGAUCAACCACUGAUUCUACCCUCCCUCACCAGUUACUCCUCCUAGCCAAGCUCAUUCAGGCAUUGAAUUAUGCAAGGCAGCGACAUGGAGUUCUCUCUAUUAUCAUUAAACUCAGUAAUCUGGAUGCUUUUGUGACAGCAGAUGCUGCUGUUGGCAUGGAGUUUUUGUAGACUCCAGCUUUAUAUGUAAAAAUCAGUUGUUCGAAGCCUGCCUGAUCUCAUCCACGGGUUAUAUUAAUUUAUUUUAAUAAGUGUAAAUUAAAGACCAUUGAGCGUGCGUAUGGGUUAGUGGC